AGAGAAUGGUUUACGGAAUCGAAUGCCUUACUGAAGUCAGUGUAAAUAACAUCCGUCUGCAAGUUACUUUGGAAGCCUUUAAUUACAAAGGAGGUGAACUCUAAAAGAUUAGUGGUUGUUGAUCGUCGCCGUAUAAAUCCGUGCUGAGCUGGAGAUAUAAGUGAUUUGCAGAGAUGAUGCAAGUGCGGAGUUAAAAGUUUCUCGAACAUUUUAGGAAUAGCGGAUAACUUAGAUAUACCUCUAUAGUUUUUAGCGUCAGACUUGCUACCUUUCUUAUGGAGAGGAAUUAUAAAGGAUUCCUUCCAGAUGGGGGGAAAGCUAGAAGAAUGGAUAGAUAGAGUGAAUAGUUUAAGCAAAGGUCCGCAGAGAGACUCGGCACAGUACCUGAGUACACAGCCGGGAACUCCGUCAGGGCCCGGUGAGAAUACCGGCUUAACUAAUUGAAGUUCAUGAAGUAAGGAGCCUUCAUUUAACAAAGGGCAGAAAAUGCCAUUCGACCUUGGUAAACUAUAUGGAUACAUAUGACCUGGGUAGCUUUCCUGGGAAUAGGUGGUUUGAAAAAAUUGUGCAAAAAGAUCGGCGAUUGCCUGAUCAUUG
Molecule: long non-coding RNA, 597 nt
Filed under: Drosophila guanche
Lineage: Eukaryota; Metazoa; Arthropoda; Insecta; Diptera; Drosophilidae
Source: RNAcentral